Molecule: ribosomal RNA, 401 nt
Filed under: uncultured bacterium
Lineage: Bacteria
Description: bacterial SSU rRNA
Rfam family: Bacterial small subunit ribosomal RNA
Source: RNAcentral
AAUCAACGCUGGCGGCGUGCCUCAGACAUGCAAGUCGAACGCGAAAGUUUCCUUCGGGAAGCAAGUAGAGUGGCGUCCGGGUGAGUAACACGUAGGUAAUCUACCUUUGGGUGGGGAAUAACCCCGAGAAAUCGGGGCUAAUACCGCAUAAUGCAGCGGCACCACAUGGUGACAGUUGUUAAAGCGGGGGAUCGCAAGACCUCGCGCCUAAAGAGGAGCCUGCGGCGGAUUAGCUAGNGGUAGGGUAACGGCCUACCAAGGCAACGAUCCGUAGCCGGCCUGAGAGGGCGGUCGGCCACACUGACACUGAAAUACGGGUCAGACUCCUACGGGAGGCAGCAGUCGGGAAUUUUGGGCAAUGGGCGAAAGCCUGACCAGCAACGCCGCGUGAAGGAUGAAAU